UUUGGGGUUUAUAAAAGACGUUGAGGGAGGUGAGAAGGGGACAUUUUUCCCCCCCUUAAUUUGUAACCCGUAUGCCUCACCAACAUAACUUCAAACCUGCUAAAUUCAAGCCAAUUCCUCCGAUUCUCAGCUGACCUUCUUGUCUACUUCAUUUGUAACUUGCUUGACUAUCUCCUUCCUUCCAUCUCCACCAAAAAUCAAGUUUGUUUGAGGCUUACUUCAGGUAGAACUCCACCGGAGAACCCAGUGAUUCUCAACGGCGAUUCGUCAUUCCGGUGAGUGUCACCAUUCACCAUCACCCUUAUUCAACUUCCCUUGGACCAACUAGUGGUUGGGGCGUUGGAACACCAAAGAAGCCGAAUUGAAGAACACCCAUCUUAGGGUUUCGUUGGGUGCGAGCCAAUUUGAGGGCCUUCCCGGCCAAAUUGGACUCGGCCCCAGGAGGUGAUAGAACGUGAUGCCUUGACUAUCGUGCUAAGGUGCAUUAGCGUGGGUUCCAGGCACUGAACUUACAGGUGACAGCUUGAGUAGACUUCGAGACGGUCGUAGGUGGGGGUAGCAGCACGGUAUCAGAGACUUGGAGCGUUAGGUUACCCUUGAUUCACUCAUGUACUUUUUAUUUUUGGGACUUUCUUUUGAGCAUCUUGAACUUGUUUUUGUUCUGGCGAAGGUUGUACUUCUUUUUGAAAUGUACAUAUUUGCAAAUGUCAAGUAGUGAACUUAGUUAUCUUCAAAUUAAAUUGGGUUAUCAUUUAAAGUA
Pyrus x bretschneideri (Chinese white pear) is the source of this 760-nucleotide long non-coding RNA. RefSeq lists it as uncharacterized. NCBI's taxonomy places the organism in Eukaryota, Viridiplantae, Streptophyta, Magnoliopsida, Rosales, Rosaceae. The record is from RefSeq and is a predicted model, not a curated record. The transcript has 3 exons.